RNAcentral lists this ribosomal RNA (1380 nucleotides) under Dolichorhinotermes longilabius. Its description in RNAcentral is "16S ribosomal RNA". The stretch from base 895 to 1265 matches the Rfam family "Archaeal large subunit ribosomal RNA", at positions 2150 to 2716 of the family's 2987-position model. Lineage: Eukaryota; Metazoa; Arthropoda; Insecta; Blattodea; Rhinotermitidae. The record is from RNAcentral.
GCAAUUCGACGUGGUCUGAUUAGAUUGAUUUUAUUUUUUGUUUAGUCUUUAUUUAUUUUUUGUUUAAUUAAAUUAUUUUUUUGUUAUUGUAUGUUUUAUUGAUUUAAUUUUUUUAAUUAUAGUUUAUUUGUACCGUGUGGGGUUGUUUAUUAUUAUUUUGGAAGCCGAUUUUAUUUGUUGUACCUUGUGUAUCAGGGUUCAUUAAAUUUUAUUAUUUAUUUUUGUUUCCCGAUUUUGAGAGGAGUUAUUGGUAUAUUUUAGUUACUGUUUCAUUAGUAUUAAUAAUGUGCUGUUGGUAAUGAAAUGUUAUUCGUCUUUGUUGGUAUCUGGUUUUCCGAGAAAUGAAUUCAAUUCAUGCGUUUUAUUUAGAUUUAUUAUUGUUUUAUUUUAUUUUUAUAUUUCGUUAAGAUUGGGGGGGAUUAGCUCUCUAUUUUAUUUUUAUAACUUUUUAUUGUUUUAAUUCUUGUUGAUUUUAUAUUGAUUUUCAAUUUGAUUAUGUUAAAAUUUUAUUUUGUUUUUAUUUAAUUUGUUUUUGUUUAGGAUUUAUAUUGGAGUGUUCUUUUUAAUUAUGUUUUGUGUGGUAAUUAUUGUGAUAUUAGUAAAUUUUAUUUUAUCUUGUUUAAAUUUUUGGAUAUUGUUAAUUUCUUCUGAGGAAUUAGGCAAAGGGUUUGUGUUCGCCUGUUUAACAAAAACAUCUUUUCUUGUUAGUUUUUGAAGUAUGGUCUGCCCACUGAUUUUUUGAAGGGCCGCGGUAUUUUGACCGUGCAAAGGUAGCAUAAUCAUUAGUUCUUUAAUUGUGAUCUGGAAUGAAUGGCUUGACGAGAUGCAAGCUGUCUUAGGUUUUGAUGAAAAUUUUGUUGAAUUUGUUUUCUGAGUUAAAAUUCUUAGAUGUUUUUAUGGGACGAGAAGACCCUAUAGAGUUUUAACAUCCUUUUGUAUUAUUAUAUGUUGUUCUGUUGUUUUUUUUAAUAGGUUUGUGAUGUUUUGUUGGGGUGAUGGGAAGAAUUUAAUUAACUCUUCUUUUCUUUAUUACAUUUAUUUGUGGUAUUUUGAUCCAUUUAUUUUGAUUAAAAGAUUAAAUUACCUUAGGGAUAACAGCGUUAUCUUCCUUGAGAGUUCUUAUUGGCAGGAAGGAUUGCGACCUCGAUGUUGGAUUAAGGUUAAUAUUUGGUGCAGGAGCUGAAUUGUUUAGGUCUGUUCGACCUUUAAAAUCUUACAUGAUCUGAGUUCAAACCGGCGUGAGCCAGGUUGGUUUCUAUCUAUAAUGAUUUUGUAUAUCUUAGUACGAGAGGACCAGGUAUGCGAAAUAAUUUUAAUUAUUUAUGAUUUUCAUUAAUUUUGCUAUUUUGGCAGAUAAGUGCAUUGGAUUUAGAAUCUAUU